ACGGAGGGUGCAAGCGUUAAUCGGAAUUACUGGGCGUAAAGAGUGCGUAGGCGGUUAGGUAAGUUAUCUGUGAAAUCCCUGGGCUUAACCUAGGUAGGAAAGAUAAAACUGCUUGACUAGAGUGUGGUAGAGGAUAGUGGAAUUUCCGGUGUAGCGGUGAAAUGCGUAGAGAUCGGAAGGAACACCAGUGGCGAAGGCGGCUAUCUGGACCAACACUGACGCUGAGGCACGAAAGCGUGGGGAGCAAACAGG
This 252-nucleotide ribosomal RNA is filed under the name uncultured bacterium. Its description in RNAcentral is "partial 16S ribosomal RNA". It matches the Rfam family "Bacterial small subunit ribosomal RNA", at positions 525 to 776 of the family's 1533-position model. The record is from RNAcentral.